UGCGCUCCCGCCCCGCGUCCUCCGCCCGCCUCACGUGUCUUCCCUGCUCCCGGCACGUCGGAGCGGCUGGGCAGCGCGGGAACUCCCCGGGACGGCGCGAUGGAGUCGAGUGGCCAUCAGGCAGAGGCCCCAGGCCGCGGUCCGCGGGUGUUGGUGGUGGGCGGCGGCAUCGCCGGGCUGGGAGCGGCGCAGAGGCUCUGCUGCUGCUCCGCCUUGCCGUCCCUGCGGGUUCUGGAGGCCACAGCCCGUGCCGGUGGCCGCAUCCGCUCGGAGCGCAGCUUCGGUGGUGUGGUGGAGGUAGGUGCUCACUGGAUCCAUGGGCCCUCCCAGAGCAACCCCGUCUUCCAGCUGGCUGCCAGGUAUGGGCUGCUGGGGGAGAAGGAGUUGUCCGAGGAGAACCAGCUGGUGGAGACCGGGGGUCACGUGGGCCUGCCCUCUGUGACCUACACCAGCUCCGGGGGAAGCGUGAGCCUUGAGCUGGUGGCGGAGAUGUCCAGUCUGUUCUACAGCCUCAUAGACCAGACCAGGGAGUUCCUGCACUCGGCCGAGGCCCCGGCGCCCAGCGUUGGGGAGUACCUCAAGAAGCAGAUCCGGGAGCACGUGGCCAGCUGGGCAGAGGGUGAGGGGACCAAGAUGCUCAAGCUGGCCAUCCUGAACAACCUCUUCAACGUGGAGUGCUGUGUCAGUGGUACCCACAGCAUGGACCUGGUGGCCCUCGCGCCUUUUGGAGAGUACACAGUGCUGCCUGGGCUGGACUGCACCUUUCCUGGGGGCUACCAAGGACUCACGGACCGCAUGGCGGCCUCCUUGCCCACGGACGUGAUGGUUUUCGACAAGCCCGUGAAGACCAUUCGCUGGAACGGGUCCUUCCAGGAAGCCUCUGCUCCUGGGGAGGCGUUUCCAGUGCUGGUGGAGUGUGAGGAUGGAGGCUGCUUCCCAGCGCAUCACGUCAUCGUCACUGUGCCCUUGGGUUUUCUUAAAGGACAUCUGGACACCUUCUUUGAGCCACCCCUGCCCCCUGAGAAGGUCGAAGCCAUCAGGAAAAUAGGCUUUGGGACCAACAAUAAAAUCUUCCUGGAGUUUGAAGAGCCCUUCUGGGAGCCAGGCUGCGAGCGCAUCCAGGUCGUGUGGGAGGACCUGUCUCCCCUGGAAGACGUCGCCCCUGAGCUGCAGGACGCCUGGUUCAAGAAGCUUAUUGGCUUCUGGGUCCUGCCUGCCUCUGGGGCCUGCCACGUGCUCUGCGGCUUCAUCGCCGGGCUGGAGUCCGAGUUCAUGGAGACGCUGUCGGAUGAGGACGUGCUCCUGUCUCUCACCCAGGUGCUCCGCAGGGUGACAGCUGCUCGGUCUGGAACGCGAGAGGCUCCUCGGGCCAUUCCGGCGGGAUGCGGGUUAACGUGCUCGUCUCUGGUUCAGGGAACCCUCGGCUCCCCGCGCCCAGGAGUGUGCUGAGGUCUCGCUGGCACAGUGCCCCGUACACCCGGGGUUCCUACAGCUACGUGGCCGUGGGCAGCUCCGGGGACGACUUGGACCUGCUGGCUCAGCCCCUCCCUGCGGAUGGCAAGGGGGCCCAGCUCCAGGUGCUGUUUGCGGGGGAAGCCACACACCGGACAUUUUACUCCACCACGCACGGGGCUCUGCUGUCCGGCUGGAGGGAGGCCGACCGGCUCAUCAGUCUGUGGGACCUGCAGGCACAGCGGCCCGGGCCCAGGCUUUGAGCCUGGCUCUGCCCCCCUGGUCCCGGGGAGGCUGGCACCACCCUUUCCUCUGACGGACAGGUUCAGCUGGGUUGGAAUUUGGGGUGUCAGUGUCACAGGGGUCAGGUCGCUGCAGUACAGCCAGGGCUGAUCGCGAAGUCUUCCUGGAGACACCGGAUGCCACUGAUGGGCCUGGCGGAGCAUAAAGUGUGGAAACGCA
RNA transcript from Sus scrofa (pig), 1914 nucleotides. It is a transcript of the gene named polyamine oxidase, with no coding region annotated. NCBI's taxonomy places the organism in Eukaryota, Metazoa, Chordata, Mammalia, Artiodactyla, Suidae. The record is from RefSeq and is a predicted model, not a curated record.